GACGAACGCUGGCGGCGUGCCUAAUACAUGCAAGUAGAACGCUGAAGAGAGGAGCUUGCUCUUCUUGGAUGAGUUGCGAACGGGUGAGUAACGCGUAGGUAACCUGCCUGGUAGCGGGGGAUAACUAUUGGAAACGAUAGCUAAUACCGCAUAAAAUGGAUUAUCGCAUGAUAAUCCAUUGAAAGGUGCAAAUGCAUCACUACCAGAUGGACCUGCGUUGUAUUAGCUAGUUGGUGGGGUAACGGCUCACCAAGGCGACGAUACAUAGCCGACCUGAGAGGGUGAUCGGCCACACUGGGACUGAGACACGGCCCAGACUCGUACGGGAGGCAGCAGUAGGGAAUCUUCGGCAAUGGACGGAAGUCUGACCGAGCAACGCCGCGUGAGUGAAGAAGGUUUUCGGAUCGUAAAGCUCUGUUGUAAGAGAAGAACGAGUGUGAGAGUGGAAAGUUCACACUGUGACGGUAUCUUACCAGAAAGGGACGGCUAACUACGUG
Molecule: ribosomal RNA, 497 nt
Filed under: uncultured bacterium
Lineage: Bacteria
Description: partial 16S ribosomal RNA
Rfam family: Bacterial small subunit ribosomal RNA
Source: RNAcentral